UUUGUGUGGUGGGUUGUAGUGUUGUGUGGUGGGUUGUGGUGUUGUGUGGUGGGUUGUUGUGGUGUUGUGUAGUGGGUUGUGGUGUUAUGUGGUGGUUUGUUGUGGUGGGUAGUGGUGUUGUGUGGUGGGUUGUGGUGUUAUAUGGUGCUUUGUUGUGGUGUUUUGUGGUGGGUUGUGAUGUUGUGUGGUGGGUUGUGGUUGUUUGUGGUGGGUUGUGGUGUUGUGUAGUGGGUUGUGGUUUUAUGUGGUUUUGUGUGGUGUUGUGUGGUGGGUUGUAGUGUUGUGUGGUGUGUUGUGGUGGUUUGUAGUGUUGUGUGGUGUGUUGUGGUGUU
Long non-coding RNA from Oncorhynchus tshawytscha (Chinook salmon), 332 nucleotides. The record is from Ensembl. NCBI's taxonomy places the organism in Eukaryota, Metazoa, Chordata, Actinopteri, Salmoniformes, Salmonidae.